This 140-nucleotide small nucleolar RNA is filed under the name Sphenodon punctatus (tuatara). RNAcentral's name for it is "Small nucleolar RNA SNORA5 (ENSSPUG00000017174.1)". It matches the Rfam family "Small nucleolar RNA SNORA5". Rfam says of the family: ACA5 is a member of the H/ACA class of snoRNA that guide the sites of modification of uridines to pseudouridines. The record is from Rfam by way of RNAcentral. Lineage: Eukaryota; Metazoa; Chordata; Lepidosauria; Sphenodontia; Sphenodontidae.
UGCAGCUGCGUCAAAUUCGGUCCCCGCCUCUUCUGUGGCAGGGACUGGUCCAAGCAGCUGCCACAGCAACAUCUGUAGUUCAUGGGGCCCAGGGACCCCUCGUUCCAGACCCUGGGGAUACAGAUAAGCUACAGACACCA